RNAcentral lists this unclassified non-coding RNA (1646 nucleotides) under Hevea brasiliensis (rubber tree). The record is from RNAcentral. Lineage: Eukaryota; Viridiplantae; Streptophyta; Magnoliopsida; Malpighiales; Euphorbiaceae.
ACUAUGCAUAUCCUACUGAUUAUACUGGCUGCCUCCCUUUCCUAAUUUGAUUUACGACUCGAUAGUUUUUCUACUCUUGGUCAUUCAGGUUUUUACUUACAAAAUGAAGUUCGAGGAUAAAUCAGUGGAAGGCUUUUUAUUUGAUUUCAAACAGAAAUGGUAGUGCAAACCAAAGAUUUAUGAACAGAAAUGAGGACAUGGCUAUCUACAAUAAUCAUUGACCGAUUGAAAGGUUGUCUGUUGAUAUCUGUGUUUGAAUGGUCUGAAGAGUCACAGAUCCAUCUCUAAUCCCUUCUCUCAUUAUCUUCCCCAUCAUUUUUGCUGCCAAUGGAACCCCAGCACACUUCUGUAUGACUUCCCUUUUCAGCUCCUCCUCAUUUCGUGGCUGGAAUGGUUUCCUUUCCUGUUCAACUUCGUCUCUAAAUAUGUCCCAACAGAGGUCUUUGUUUGAAAGAGGCAAAAGGCGAUAUAUGUUCUCAUCCCCAACCAUCAUCUUCAUAACUUCCUCAUUCCUGCUUGUGACGAUGACAGUUCCACCAUAGCCCUUUGGCAACCCAUAAGCAAGGUGUUGGUCCCACUUAACAUGGCGAGGUAGUGAAGCAUUCAAGUUGCUGUACCAGUACCAGUCUCCAGUAUCCUGCGCAUCAUCCAACACGAUCAGAUACCUCUUGCGCAUCAACUCCACAUGAAGAGCACAAAGUAACCCAGCAAGGCCAUGCUCGUCUAAAAUGGUUUUCACCAUCUCCCCUUCGACUCCAAGAGAAUUUAACAUUCUUUUCACAAUUGCUCUCUUCGGAUCAUUAUCUUCUUCGUUGUCCUUCGUUGACAUGUGAACCCAAAUCCUGGGAACAAAGUGGUUCUUCACUUCUGGUUUGGUCAGAAUAAGUUGGCAUAGUGUGGUUUUCCCAGCACCUCUCAUUCCUACAAUUCCAACUGUCUUGAAAUAAUCAAUACUCCCUCGUCGAACCAGCAAUUUCUCCAGAUGCGUUAUUUCAUCAUCGAACCCAUAAACCUUUGGUGGAGCCUCAGAGCGAGAACUCAAGCGAUGAAAUUCUCUAGCAUCAGAUAAGCUCGCUUGGAGUUGGCCAUUAUUCUGGGGUAGAUCAAGGUUUCCAUUUGGAUUGUUGUCGUCGGAGGGUUUAAUAUUUUCUAUCUCUGCCUUGAUCUUUGACAAAUUCUGCUUAAUUUUAAAGACAGUGGGUGAAAGUAGAGUAUUCUUGCCUGAAAGUGCCUGGCAUUCACUGAAAACGUCGUUGAGGGAGUAGAGAUAUGCUCUGAGUACGGGGACAUCUGAAGAAGAGCAAGAAACAAGCUUUUCCUUAAGCAACCCCUUGAGAUCUUUGAAUUCUUUAGCUAAGGGAACUUUAGGAGAUUCAAGGCCUUCUCCGAGUUUCUUCAGUAGAUACUUUUCAAUCUCCUGAGACAUAGCAGCUGUUAGACUCUUCAGCGAUUUGGAAGUCACCGGAAAAUCUUCCAGGUCUAUUAAUGGUUUUUAGCCCGGUGCAGAAAAAGAAAUCGCCCUGUGAUAUGGUAGAGAGAAAUUAUUUGCGGAGACUUUUGAGAGCUGGGUCUUCGAUCUUCGAGAUGAUUCUUUUACUUUUGAUUUGUUAUAAGUUUUAACAGCAAAUUAUUAAUAUUAUUAGUUG